CUCAAACAAUCCUGUGAUUCUUGUAGAUAGAUGCUCAAGAACUGUCCAGAGGAACAAUUCCAAAACAAACCAGGAGGCAGAGGGCACUGUAGGGUAGAGGAGCUCAAGAGUACAGGGCACUUCUGUGAACAAAGUGCAGCGAUGUACAGCCAGUUGUGUGCUCCUCAGAGCUGUCCUGUUCUCCCAUGUCCUUCUGAUAAAGGUGGGAUGUAGUGGGCUAUGAUCCUGAGGGACUGUGCUUUCCCUGAAGCUGGCUGUCAAUGAGAGGUGCCAAAACAGGAAGUAAUGAAAGUGUACUCAUCCUAUCUCACAUGUGAGGCAGAGGAGUGUACAGCAGCAGGAGAUGAUGAUCCUAGUUCAGCUGGAGUGCAGUCACAUGCCAAGUCUGUCUUUCCUCAUGGUGCUCUCGAGGAUGAUCAUCUUCCAGAGACCACAGCAGGACUGAGUGUCUACUCAAGGAUGAGCAUGCGUUUAAGUGCUAUACCAAAGAGUGAUGCUUUCUUGAAUUAG
This 510-nucleotide long non-coding RNA is filed under the name Coturnix japonica (Japanese quail). RNAcentral's name for it is "lncRNA (ENSCJPG00005021011.1)". Lineage: Eukaryota; Metazoa; Chordata; Aves; Galliformes; Phasianidae. The record is from RNAcentral.